GAUGAAGAACGCAGCGAAAUGCGAUAAGUAAUGUGAAUUGCAGAAUUCAGUGAAUCAUCGAAUCUUUGAACGCACAUUGCGCCCGCCAGUAUUCUGGCAGGCAUGCCUGUUCGAGCGUCAUUUCAACCAUCAAGCCCCCGGCUUGUGUUGGGGACCUGCGGCUGCCGCAGGCCCUGAAAAGCAGUGGCGGGCUCGCUGUCACACCGAGCGUAGUAGCAUACAUCUCGCUCUGGGCGUGCUGCGGGUUCCGGCCGUUAAACCACCUUCAUAACCCAAGGUUGACCUCGGAUCAGGUAGGAAGACCCGCUGAACUUAAGCAUAUCAAUAAGCAGAGGA
RNAcentral lists this unclassified non-coding RNA (336 nucleotides) under soil metagenome. Its description in RNAcentral is "partial contains 5.8S ribosomal RNA, internal transcribed spacer 2, and large subunit ribosomal RNA". The stretch from base 1 to 120 matches the Rfam family "5.8S ribosomal RNA", at positions 35 to 154 of the family's 154-position model. The record is from RNAcentral.